Molecule: ribosomal RNA, 253 nt
Filed under: uncultured bacterium
Lineage: Bacteria
Description: partial 16S ribosomal RNA
Rfam family: Bacterial small subunit ribosomal RNA
Source: RNAcentral
UACGGGGGGGGCAAGCGUUGUUCGGAAUUACUGGGCGUAAAGGGUUUGUAGGUGGCUUGUUAAGUCUGACGUGAAAUCCCUCAGCUUAACUGGGGAACUGCGUCUGAUACUGGCGAGCUUGAGUGCAGGAGAGGAACGCGGAAUUCCAGGUGUAGCGGUGAAAUGCGUAGAUAUCUGGAGGAACACCGGUGGCGAAGGCGGCGUUCUGGACUGCAACUGACACUGAGAAACGAAAGCCAGGGUAGCAAACGGG